AUGGAUAUGGAACAUGAAAUACCAAAAAAAUUAGGUGUACUUGCUACUCAUGGAGAUGGGGAACCUCCUAAAACCCUCGAUGCUGGUUAUGUGAAAAAUAUUAUGUACUACUUUAAUAAUCCUGAGAAAACCCCAUUCAAUUAUGUAAUGGGAGUAACGUUGGAUCAACCUGAAUACUUUAGGGAUUACCACUUGACACAAAAAGGGAAACUAUUAUGGGAUCAAAUUCAUAUAUUGAAUUGGUAUGCUAGGCAACUAUGCUUGAGAUAUGAUUAUACUUGUUGCUCUAAGGUGAAGGCUCCACACCUUCCCUUUUCAUGUGAAUUUAAUGAUAAUGAAACCUUAGCUUCUUAUGCUAAUGGUAUAUAUGAUUACUAUGAUGUGGAACAAAUAGAAGAAUUUGUUGCUUUUAAGGGUGCUUAUGAAAUUGAAUCUUUGUUUGAAAAGCAUGAAGCUUCUGAUGAUGGUGUUUAUAGGCCUGAAAAUAUAGCUAUCUUAAAAUAUUGA
RNAcentral lists this ribosomal RNA (507 nucleotides) under Triticum aestivum (bread wheat). RNAcentral's name for it is "partial small subunit ribosomal RNA". The record is from RNAcentral. Lineage: Eukaryota; Viridiplantae; Streptophyta; Magnoliopsida; Poales; Poaceae.